This 871-nucleotide ribosomal RNA is filed under the name uncultured bacterium. Its description in RNAcentral is "bacterial SSU rRNA". It matches the Rfam family "Bacterial small subunit ribosomal RNA", at positions 634 to 1501 of the family's 1533-position model. The record is from RNAcentral.
UGGCAGACUGGAGGGAUGCAGAGGUUUGUGGAAUUCCUGGUGUAGCGGUGAAAUGCAUUGAUAUCAGGAGGAACACCCAUGGCGAAGGCAGCAAACUGGGCAUCAUCUGACGCUGAGGCGCGAAAGCGUGGGUAGCAAACAGGAUUAGAUACCCUGGUAGUCCACGCCCUAAACGAUGGAUACUAGGCGUAAGAGGUAUCGACCCCUCUUGUGCCGCAGCUAACGCAUUAAGUAUCCCGCCUGGGGAGUACGGCCGCAAGGUUGAAACUCAAAUGAAUUGACGGGGACCCGCACAAGCGGUGGAGCAUGUGGAUUAAUUCGAUACUAACCGAAGAACCUUACCCAGACUUGACAUCGAUCGUAAGCCCUAGAAAUAGGGCCCUCUCUCACAAGGAGACGUGAAGACACUUGUUGCAUGGCUGUCGUCAGCUCGUGCCGUGAGGUGUUAGGUUAAGUCCUUCAACGAGCGCAACCCUCGUCCUGUGUUACCAGCAUGAAAGAUGGGGACUCACAGGAGACCGCCGGUGUAAGCCGGAGGAAGGUGGGGAUGACGUCAAGUCAGCAUGGCAGUUACGUCUGGGGCUUCACACAUGCUACAAUGGGCGAAACAAAGGGCUGCGAUACCGCGAGGUGGAGCCAAUCCCAAAAAUACGCCCUCAGUUCAGAUUGCAGUCUGCAACUCGACUGCAUGAAGUCGGAAUCGCUAGUAAACGCAGGUCAGCUAUACUGCGUUGAAUACGUUCCCGGGUCUUGUACACACCGCCCGUCAAGUCACCUGAAUUGUCUUCACCCGAAGUCCGUGGCCUAACCGUAAGGAAGGAGCGGCCGAAGGUGAGGGGGGUAAGGGGGACUAAGUCGUAACAAGGUAACC